Molecule: non-coding RNA, 308 nt
Organism: Xyrichtys novacula (pearly razorfish)
Lineage: Eukaryota; Metazoa; Chordata; Actinopteri; Labriformes; Labridae
Source: the annotation of a GenBank genome assembly
GUGGCUGACAGUGUGUUCAUCUCUGUUCUCACCCAAAGUCAUGCAACACUCAGAGAAAACGCUGAUAGUGUGAGCCAAAGCACUCCAUAUGAAGAGGUUGUUCACACUGCUGGAUGUUUCUCCUCUGAAGCUGCUCUCUGCCUCAGUCAUUGUUUACUUCACUCAUGAAGCUCAUCAAGCACGUAGCAAGAUCCGAGCAUGAACCCGAGCGCUUUAUUCGCCUAUCAAAGGCAGACGGGUACGGUGAUUUCAUUCACCGCGACUCCAGAAAUGAUUAAAAAACUACAAAAUGACGUAUCCGCGCUCCC